This is an RNA transcript of Lycium barbarum (goji berry), 2846 nucleotides long. RefSeq lists it as uncharacterized. The transcript is spliced from 4 exons. The record is from RefSeq and is a predicted model, not a curated record. Lineage: Eukaryota; Viridiplantae; Streptophyta; Magnoliopsida; Solanales; Solanaceae.
UAUACUGCUUAAAAAAAGUGUACAUCCCUGCGUAUCUGGUUGUCAAACAUAGUGCAUGGUUUUCUUGCUAUGUUUUCAGACUCUUGGAACUCUAUCUGUGUGAGCUUCGCAGCCUGUCCUAAGUCUGGAUAAAAGAUGAGAAUUGUGGUAGGGCGAUGGUCAAUGUAAACGUACUGUAUAGUGUAUACUGUGGCUUGGAUACCAAUAGUUCUAUAACCAACUCAACUGGUUUGUGGUUAAUGAAUAGUUGAUCGGUCAUUCUCAAACCUUGGACCAACUAUAGAGCUUCAGAAUCUUACAUUAGAAAAUGAUUUUUAAAUUAGUUUUUGGAUUAUGUCUGCAGUUCAAAGUUUGUAGACUGCUUUCAUUAUUAUAUUUUAGAAAAAAAAAAAAGUUUUUUUGACUGCUUUCUGUUGUGGUAAUUCAAUUUUUGUUUAUAAGUGAAUUGUGCAAAUUUUCAGUAAAAGCUACAAAGCAUACCUUUUGGAGUGUCAAGCUUGUUGCUGAAAGUCUAGCAGUAAGGACCAUAGCCUACUUCUUUGCCCCUGGAGUACAAAAUUUUUGUCUAAGACAUUGCACUGCUGAUUUCAUGAAUUGAUAAAACCUUAAACUUCCAAUGAUGACAUUGUCUUCUAUAUGAGAAAUAAAUAAUGACAGCAGAAUAGUGAACCUAGAAAGGAAGACUAGUGCUUUUUGGCCUCUUAUAGGUCUUGUCAUGCCUGCUCCUUUUGGGACCUAGUUGAUUCUCAAUUAAGUAGUUUUUCAAUGAAGCUACAUAUUCUGUUCAACAUCAAAAGUAUAACUUUUUAUUUUAUCGUGGCUUUUUCGCUUUCGUUAUUUUCAUUUGCAUACUGCUUUAAAUUGCUUGUCUUUAUCUGACAUUUAUUUGCCAUGCUUUCUCUUGAGCUGAGAGUCUUUUGGAAACAACCUUCCUACCUUCCAAGGUAGGGGUAAAGUCUGCGUACACUUCACCCUCCCCGGGCCCUACAUUGUGGGAUUUCACUGGGUAUGCUGUUGUUGUUGUUGUAUCAUUUUGCUGAGACUAUGGCAGAUAGUGUUUGUACUCUCAGUUUUCCUUGUGGUUUGUGGAAUCUCCUGAUGCUAUGCUAGCGGAGCGAGUAUAUAGCUAAUAAAAUCAAUUUAAAUCAUAAUUGGCUGGUUUAUGAUUUAAUCAAGAAUAAUCCCAAAAUUGCUCUUCUUUGACAUUCCUUCUCCAAGUCUACAAUUAAGAUCAGUCCUAAAUACCCUGGAAAUUCACAAUAACAUUCUCUCUCUCUCUCAAAAAAAAAAAAAAAAACUCUUGAAAUUCCUGCUGCUUCAUGAGUAUUAUUUACUGCUAGUUCUGUGCAUCCUUCCUUUAAUUAAUUAAUGAGCAACAUGAUUGAAUUUUGAGUAGCCGCUUUUAUACGGGGGUACCCCAUCAUUAAUAAUGCUCCCUCCGUGCCGAUUUAUGUGGUGUAAUAGUUGGAGUAGAUAGGGAGUUUAUCAAUGAAAGACAGACUUUUGAAACUUAUCUACAAUAAGUUAUAAAUAUUUGUGUGGAUAAAAAUCAUCUCAUUAAGGGUAAAAUGAGAAGUUUGAAGUUAAACUGUUAAAGAUAUUAUUCUUUUCGGAACUCAAAAAAAAAAAAAAAAAAAGGGAAAGAGUGUCACAUAAAUUGGGACAGAGGGAGUAUUACUUACCCUUUUUUAUUUUAAACCGAGGGAGUAUUAUUUAACUUAUAAGAAAAGGAUUGAAUUUUGAGUUCUGUCAGAGUGUCAGUAUACUAUUUGAGAUUUCUCGAGAAUGAUUUUAUGAAAGAUUUAUUUAUUUUCCUCAUUACAUUGCUUAGUCCCAAGUGUAAAUGACAAAUUAUGAUUAGGGAAACGUGGAUGCAUCUUCUGUAGUAUUUUUUCUUUGGGGUGGGGGACUGUAUGCCAGAGCCCAUUUGCAUUUGUAUAUGUAGGAUUUUGUUUUGCCUGUCUUUUAUUAUAGCGAACAAAUAAUUUUGCUGUACCGAACUACUUCUGAAGAAUCGGGUGAUUGAUCAGCUGGUUCAAAGUUUUAGAUAAUCAAAGCGUUUUUUGUGUAUGCUUUCUUUCUCCUAUAUUCUGCAGCUUUGUGAGACUCAAAUCUUGGUAGAUGUCCUUUUAUGUGAUCGGACUUGUUUCAAGCAUUUGUUUCAUGCAGACUACAGUGGUUUUGCAAGCGUGUGUUUAACAAAUUUCUUCAUACACAGACACAUUUACAGCCAGGAGCAGAAGGGCAUAAACAUAUUUGCAGAUGAUAGUAGUUCAGCUGUCAAAUCCUUCCUACAUAAGGUCUUGACUAGAUCUUUUAUCUACAACACCUCGAGUGGCACCUUUUCUUUCAAAAAAUGACCCGGUUAUUAAGGCACUGGAGAAGGAAUUAGCUGAUCAUACUGCAGAGGUGAACGUACAGCAUGAGACUCUAGAUGGAACGUUCACUUUUUACGAUUCAACUAGUGGCAAGUUGCAUAUAUAUCAGGUUGCUAGCGUGACAUUCGACCUGCUUUUGUUGUUGGUUCUAGGAUCAUACUUGAUUAUACUUUUCAGUUUUCUUUUUAUCACCCCCAGGAGUUGUUGCAGGAUACGAUCAAGAUCCAUAUAGCCUCUGAAGAACUCACGAUGUCCGCUCCCACUCCAGAGCUUCCUGUUGAUUCUCAUCCUAGACUGAAGCUACAAUUAUUUCUUUGAGUUUAUUUUCCUUGAGUUGAUGGUUAUAGAAGCUAGUGUACCUGUCUAGACUAGGUUUUGGGAAAAAUUGUUGUUAAUAAAGGAUGCAUUUGAGUAUUUAUGUUUCUCUUAAAGUAAUGUUUUAAAUGAAUGGUCAAUGAAAUUUCUUAA